GUGCUCGCUAGGCAGCACAGAUACUAAAAUUGGAACGAUACAGAGAUUAGCAUGGCCCCUGCGCAAGGAUGACAUGAAAUCUGUGAAGCAUUCCACAUUUGA
Molecule: small nuclear RNA, 102 nt
Organism: Myotis myotis
Lineage: Eukaryota; Metazoa; Chordata; Mammalia; Chiroptera; Vespertilionidae
Source: RefSeq, a predicted model, not a curated record